Non-coding RNA from Podarcis lilfordi (Lilford's wall lizard), 9627 nucleotides. The record is from the annotation of a GenBank genome assembly. NCBI's taxonomy places the organism in Eukaryota, Metazoa, Chordata, Lepidosauria, Squamata, Lacertidae.
GGCAACCUUUGAACCUGGAGGUUGUGUAACUAGUAAACUGCCCCAGAAGUGAUGCAUAACUCCUGACUGGGAGGAAUGAACAUAAAUGGUGGCCCUCCCUGAUAAAAUUGAGGGUGAGUAAUUCAACUUUGCUCUGGGGUCGGUUGUGACUGAAUGAUCCGAGUAAGCGUAAUGCAGAGAAAUAGCAAAAUCAUCGGGCAAAAGAUGUGGGACAUAAUAUUCAGGUGAAAGAUUAGGAAAGACUUGGGAAGAAUGAUCUAAAAUUUACAGCCUGUACCUUACUUAAAGAGAAUUAUAUGAAAAUGAUAUAUAGGUGGUAUUUAACACCAGUUAAAUUGGCAAAUAUAUAUAAAAAUAAAUGUUGGAAAUGUAAAGAAAUAGAAGGUAUGUUUCAUCAUAUGCGGUGGCAGUGUAAGGUUAUUAAAAAAUUCUGGGAAAUGAUAUAUAAUGAAUUGAAAGAAAUGUUAAGAAUAACCUUUGUUAAAAAUCCAGAAGCCUUUCUAUUGGGUAGUACAGGAAUGGAUCUACCUAAAGAAUAUAAGAAUUGAUUUAUGUAUGCAACAACAGCUGCCUGGAUAUUGCCAGCCUAACAUUGGAAAGAAGAAGAAGUCCACACCAAAGAAGAUUGGCAAAUUAAAUUAAUGGAGUAUGCUGAAACGGCUAAAUUAACUGGGAAACUUAGAAAUCAAGAUGACAACAAAUAUAAAAAAGAAUGGAAAAUGUUUAUUGCAUAUUUACAAAAGCAAUGUACACAAGUUAAUACAUUAGCAGAAUUUUAAAUAACACUUGUAAUAUUAUAGACAAUGUAGCAAAAUUGGAAGUAAUCAGAGAUAAAGACUUUAUUGACAUGUGUGAAUGCAAAUAUUAUAAAGAAACCAAGGGAGAGGGUGGAGGAAAGUUCAGGGCAUACUAUGGAUUUAAUAUGGAUUGUAUAUACAGUUGUUUUAAAUGUUUUAUUUUAUGCCUUUUUUAUGUAGUUUUUGUUUUUUGUGAAAAUUAAUAAAAUUAUUACACAAAAGAGAGAGGGGAAAAAAUAGCAAAAUUAUCAGAGGAGGCUGUCUGGAGGGGCCCAAGCGCAGGACAGUGAAUUGCCUAGAGAGGCAACAAGAAGUCUCCUCUGCAGAAGCAGUAUUUGAGUUUACAGGUUAUUUGGGUUAUUUAGGCAGGAGCAGAGGGAAGCCACAACACUAGGUUCCUUGCAGGGACACUGCCACUUAUCAGGGUGGGUUGGCAGUGGAAUUCUAUCCACUCGGCAAGCUAUUUCUGUCCUCUUGGGCCACACUAACCUAAAAAUACAGGCACGCCCUCUGCAAGUUAUUAUGAGUCACACAGCACUCUUUAUCGUGCAACACUGAGAAUUAGCAGCCUGUCCAUUCUUCUGGACUACACUCGGAAUGUAACUCACAAACAUCUGGCCUUUUGUGCCAAUGGAAGCUGGCUCAGUAAAAAGCUAUGGGCUUGUCCAUAUUUUCAUGUAAUCCACUGUAUUAAAUUCACACUGAAUAGCUGGAACUCCCUGUGUUGGUCCUGUGGCCAUCCUCUUUCCACACCGCAACAAAGGGACAACUACAUACAAUUUCCAGUUCUUGCUUCGGUGCACCCAGGAGGCAGACAGUAGCUUAUCUUUCCUUUCCUUUCUUUUUUCCAUACAAAGCAAUGACAACAAAGGAGAAAUUAUUGUGGGAAAGGAGCUAUGUUUUCUCCCCGGUUUUCAAAAGCAUCUGUAGGAAGCUUGAGAGCAAAGCAACCAAUAGUUGUGGUGUGGUCUCAGCAGGUUUCGUCUUCGUCUUCCUAGCAGGAAAGCACCAUCCCUGUCCUACUGAGAUUUUGAAUUUUGAGCUAAUUUCCACUAGUCGGAGUUGCAAAGCUUUUAACUGAGAGCAUUAGUAAACAAGAAGCCAUUCACGCUGUGAAUUUUUGCAAGAGUCAACUUCAUUUAUGUGUGUUUUCAAGAACUUCUGUUCUACCGUGCCAUGCAAGUGGCUUACUGCAAAUGCCUUGCUUAGAAAGAGGGCAGGUCUAUGUCUCACUUUGCAAUGGUUCUUAGGCCAUAGGUGGAUGAGCCAUCGCUGAGAUAGCAAGGGAGCUAAGGAAGACUCAAAUGGGGAAGGGACAGAGUUCAGAUGCAGAGCAUCUGACUUGCCUUCAAAAGACCUAGGUUCAAUUUCUGGUAUCUCCAGGCAGGGCUAGGGAAAGUUCUUGCAUUGGGGAUCUAGUGUCAGUCAAUGUAGACUGGGAUCAGCAAACUUUUUCAGCCAUGGGCCUGUUCGCUGUCCCUCAGACCAUGUGGUGGGCCAGACUAUAUUUUGAAAAAAUAAUAAUAAACGAAUUCCUAUGCCCCACAAAUAACCCAGAGAUGCAUUUUAAAUAAAAGCACACAUUCUACUCAUGUAAAAUCACGCUGAUUCCCGGACCAUCCAUGGGCCAGAUUGAGAUGGCGAUCUGGCCCCUGGGCCUUAGAUUGCCUACCCCGGUGUAGACAAUAUUUUUUUCUGCUUUUUUAUUUUGAUUGUUUUUUAUUGAAGAUUUUCUUAGUUUACAAAAGUACAUGCAUUGUCUUUAUUUCAGGUUAUGUUCUCUACAGAUCUAUUACAUUUGGUGUGAGACAUUAGAGUUAUAUGCAGUAUAAGGCUGGGAAGAAAAAGAGGGGGGAAAGAGGCACUGGUGGAGAAAAGGGGGUGUGGUGGGGGUGGUCUGCCCCUGGUGUCAUCCCUAAGGGGUGUGUGAAAUUGCCGCAGGAGUCGCCCCCCAGGACGCCCCCCACCCUGGCACACACCCCCUGGGACAUGCGCCGUAGCACCCCAAGGGCGGCUAGCCCUUCCCCCGUGGGCUGCUCUGGGUGCCAUAGCAGCUAUCGCUGCCUCUGGAGAGAGGGGGUGGUGUGGUAAAGCUUAUAUUUCUUUACUUACUGUAUGUGUGGGGUUUAGUGUCAACAUCACUUGGGUAAGUUCUCAUUCUAUUCGCUUGUUAUAUUUCCUUGGUAGUGAGAGAAGUUGGGGGUGGCUGCAGUGAGAUUUGCUUGGGGUGGGUGGGUCAAGUUAGCCAUGUUGAUUUGUAUGCUGUCGGUGGAUUCCUGUUGUUGUCUUUUGGGUCUGUGUAUGUGAUAAAGAAGGGACGCGGGUGGUGCUGUGGGUUAAACCACAGAACCUAGGACUUGCUGAUCAGAAGGUCGCCGGUUCGAAUCCCCGCGAUGGGGUGAGCUCCCGUUGCUCGGUCCCUGCUCCUGCCAACCUAGCAGUUCGAAAUCACAUCAAAGUGCAAGUAGAUAAAUAGGUACUGCUCCGGCGGGAAGGUAAAUGGCUUAGUCAUGCUGGCCACAUGACCCGGAAGCUGUAUGCCGGCUCCCUUGGCCAAUAAAGUGAAAUGAGUGCCGCAACCCCAGAGUCGGUCAAGACUGGGCCUAAUGGUCAGGGGUCCCUUUACCUUUACCUUUAUGUGAUAAAGGGGAGUCAUACUGGAGUGAAGACGUCCUCUUCCAUUUCCCCCCGUAUCAGUUUCUGUUUGUUUUUUUUAAAAUGAUAUUUAUUGGAAUUUUUUUUUUUUAAAUUACAAAAGAGAACAAAGUAGAAAAAGAAAAAAGAAAAAGCAAAGAAAAAAACAAACCACAUCAAACAAUACAAAUUCAAAAAAACAAAAAUACACCACAAACAUUUAAAAACAAAUCCAUUAUUCUCAAAUCCUCAACUGUCAUUACCUUCUUUCUUUGACCUCCUCCUCCUCCCUUUUUUGUAUCCUAGUUGUUAAUUGUCGCAGCAAAUCCUUUCCAUAUUUCAUAAUAUUCUGUCAUUACAUUACCUUAAACUAUUUUAAUCUUAUCUUACUAUAAAAACCUUGAAACUUAAAACUUAAAUCUUAUUUUUACCAACUUCUCAUAACCAUAAUAUUCUUACAUAAUUCUUUACACAUUUUUACUAAAGCCAAGUAAUUUCAUUCCAACAUUUUUCUAACAUUCAUCAAUUUUAUAAAACAAUCCUAGUAGUAAAAAAAGAAAUAAAAACAAUCCAGGAUCAGGACGGUGGAAAGUUACUUUACUUUACCCUCACUUCUGCAGGUUUAAACAGUCCGAAAAAAUCCCCCCUCUUCUCCUGCUUCCGAAGGGCGUUCAACAAUUUUAAAUGAUGAAAGUUAAUCUUUUACAGGCGAUUUUCUGAGCUCUAGUUUGCCAUGUGUUUGCUUUAAUCUAUCUACAAAGAAACGGAAGGCUGACUUCCUGUUUAGACCUUCCCGUUUCAGUGCCAAAUUGAGGUAAACUUUUAAGUCCAAUUUUCCUUUCUGCUCACAAGUCCUUAUUUAAAAUCCAAUUGUCCGAAUUUAGGUACUCACGGGUGAUUAUUUUAGAAGCCAAAUUGUCCCAGGAAAAAGGCAGCGCUCUCCAGCAACGGCUGUGCAGCUUCGCUCCACGGAAGAAGCAGUUGACUCUCAGCACCGCGCCACUUCCCCCUCUUUGCUCCAGAGCCCGUUAAUGGGUUCUUUUGCGGGUUGGGGGGGCGCUAAGGGUGCCCGCCGAGUCCCAUGGUCACAGGCUUCAUCCGCCUGUCAUUUUUGAAAGGGUCCCCGCUUCACCGUAGCAGAAAAGACCCGUUUCGCGUGGAGCUAGUCCCUCCAGAUCAGAGGGAGUCGCCAUUGCCGAUGGCGCCACCCCGGAAGUCCCCCGUAUCAGUUUCUGAACUGUAGACAUUAAUGAAACAUAUGGACCAAUGUUCUGACUCAGUAUAAGGUGGCUGCAUAGGUUACAUGUUUCUCACUACCACACAUCAACUAGAAUAAAGUGAGUAAUUCAGUGUGUUCCUGCAUAAAUUGUGUUCUUGAGUCAUAGGAUGACUGGAUUUACAAAGAACAUUUGGGGCCAAUAGUCAUGCAGAGUGAGACAUAAAAUAGAACAGUCCAUUGGUCCUGUCCCAAAUUUUUGAUGGAUGAGGCAGACACUUUUUUGACUUAAAAAGGGAAUAAUUGCUCUUCUAAAUUGCUCUUUUUGCAUUCUAAAACGUAUCUAAGUGUUCUUUUUCCAUUCUAAAACGUAUCUAAGUGUUCAAUGCUGUGCAUGUUUACUCAGGGUCCUCUCAGAUAAGUCUAUUUUUAUAGGUUGGGGGGAUUCACCUAACUCUAGAAAUUAACAAAUGGUAGGAUUUUAUUGAGAUAUAAAGGAGGAAUCCAUGGGCUAGAACUAUGCAAAAUGAUCUGGCAAGCUUGGGGUGGAACAAGCCUCUCUUGAGAUGACCAUGCUGUAAGAUAUGGACCUCCUCCAUCUAAACUAAGGUGUGAAUUUGUGAAUUUCGGUUUCAGAAGUGUAGACAAUAAUGAAACAUCUGGACCAAUGUUCUGAAUCAGUCUGUGGUGGCUUCAUGUGUUACAUGCUCCACACCACCACACAUCAACAAGGUUUCACUUUGGGAAGGCAUGCCAGGGGAGUGUGGAGUCAUCUGCUACACCACUUCUAUGUUACGACUUAUUUAGUCUCAGAGAACCCAUCCUUUACGUGGUAGAAAGCUGAGGGAUCAGAUCUUUGGCACAAAGAAUGCGAAUGAGUAAUAUCAAUACAAUCACUGGAUAUUUCCGGGGGGGGGGAUAUCUUUCUCCCUCCACGCUUUCUCCGCUCUCUCCUUUAAACUCAUACACAUCCUCUUGGCACAUUUUCAUGUACUUUCACUUUCGCAUUCAACACAUUUUUCGCAUUCGACGAGGCACGGCGGUGUUUUGAAUUCUGGCACAGAUGGAUGUCUCCACUAACAGGAUAAACAUUUGAAGUGGCACUUGCUGAAUGAUUGACACUGGUUAUACAGUAAGUUCUUAUUCUGUCAGACUUUGGCAUGUCAUUAGGUGUCAGAGUUAAUCUUCUGCCAGCCAUUUGACAGGAUUUUACUUAGUGCCUGAUGCCAGUUUCUAAAAAGUGUGCAUGAUUAAGGCUGCAUACAAAUUACAUUUGUUCAGUUGAAUAACAUACUGGUUAUAUAUUUGGAAAGGAGAUAGAAUUAUCCUAACAAUGGGUCUCACCAUAGAGAGCUUUAUGGAAUAUUGUAUCUAUUGUCAGGGCCAUGAAUAUCUUCUCCAAAUAUGGACUUCCAGUUUUCUCCACAUCAGUCCAAGUCUGGCGUUGGAGAGUUGCUAGAAGAUAUUGAUCACUCAACCAGGAAGAACUCUGAGUAUUUAUACCAGGCCUGGCCAAACCGUAGGGUAUUGCCAGAUAACUAUGCCUCUGAAUAUUCAUGUCCUGCUUGUGGACUUCCAUAGGCAUCUGGUUGGUCAAUAUAAGAACAGAAUGAUGAACUAGUUAGAUAUUUGCUCUGAUCCAUACAUAGUCCUAGGGAGUUCACUCAGCUAGGUUCCAGCCCAGGGCAGCCCAACUUUGGUCUCAUAUCUGUCAUAUUUGAGUAAGUUCAUGAUGAUUUUGCAGUGCAUGCUUGUCUUUAUAUGAGCCAAAUUUAUUGCUGCAGAUUAGCUCUGAAAAAGCUAUUUGCAAUGAAGGAAAGCAUUAAAAUAUCCUUGGCUUUCAUUAGUCAAGUGGCAAGAAGGAUGAAGUCAUCAAGAUAAGGGAAUAAUCUAUAAGAUUGUUUAGAUAUUUUAAAUUUAGCAGGUAUGAACCUGGUUUUCAAGCUAACUCCUAAGCACCAAUUGUUCUUCCAUGUCAGAAGCCACUAAAUUCAUGCUGAAGGUAUUAUUACCUAGAAGAUCCUGGACAAAAAACUACAAAAUUUAGGAGGCAAUUAUCUUCCACCAAAAACAACAGAGAUGGAGAAGAAUCUUGUUCAAUUUGGAUUUUAAAGUAAACUAAGCUAAUUCAGUUUCUGAUACAUAUUUGAAUGCAGUUAACAAUCAUAUUGUGUACUUCUCCAGAUUUUGCAAUUAGGUUUAGUUUUUUUAAUAAAAUGCUAGGGAGAAUGUGUAGGAAAGCAAACAAAACUGAGUAUUUUAUAGCAGAAAUGUGUGAAAAAAUGCAUAUUUUAUGGGACAAUGUGUGAAAAUAUGUACAACCUAUAUGCACUUUUAAUGUGUGUGUUUUUUUAAAAAAAAAAUUGUAGAAAAUGGGAUAGAACUGACUUGUGUUUGAAUGCAUGCAAAGGUAGCACAGUAUAGAAAUAGGCUAAUAUGCCCAUCCCUAGUUUUAGGUCCACUUCAGAAUGAACUACAAGGCUCCAAUCCACUGGCCCUGAGAUUACUACUGAACUCAGAAUUGAUUGUAUUGUAAAGGACAUUGUCUCAGGUAUGGGUGCAAAAGAACCACCAACAUUCUUCAGAAGUGCUAUGCUUUUUGCAGAUUCUCCCAAAUUAUUUCCAGGCAAAGAAUUGUUUUCCAUUGUCAUCCACCAGAAAAAAAACAGUAUCAAUAAUACUGAGACAUAAUGGCAGAUCCUCCAAGUGUCCCUACUUUCCAGGGAUGUCCCUGAUUUAGAGAAACCGUUCUGGUUUCUGAUUUGAUCAUGGAAUGUCCCACGUUUCCUUAGGAUGUCCCUAUUUUCAUUGGAUAAAUGUUGAAGGCUGUGGAGUUAUCCAACCCCGAGCCUUCUGAAGGCAAUUCUGUAUAGGAAAGGUGUGUUCUUUGAAAAAUGUUUAAUGUUUUAUUAUGUUUUUAUAUAUGUUGGAAGCUGCCCAGAGUGGCUGAGGAAACCCUGUUAGAUGUGUGGGGUAUAAAUAGUAAAAUUAACAUUACGGAGUGGGACAUCCCUACUUUCAUCAGAGAAAUGUUGGAAGGUAUGUAAUAGAAAUGAUAAAACACAAAAAUCUUGUGUCAAAUGGUAAUAAAGCACACAAAACAGGGCAUGACACAGGCUAAAUAAGAACAGAGGCUGUUGCCCUGCGUAUGUUAUGGACUACAAUUAUCAUAAGUCCUAGCCUGUACAGGCCAGUGACGAUGGGAAUUGCAGUCCAAAAUAUAUCAAGGACACCAGGUUGAGGGCAUCUGGGAGACACCAUGAUGAGUUCUCUUUAAUUGGCACCAUUUUAUAGCACAGUAUACAGCAGUUAACAUAAUUCAACAAGUAUAUUGGAAUUUCAGAACAACAGUCGUAUAAUUGCCUUGAUUAAAAGAGUUUCUUCCAAACCCCAGAACUGGAACCAGAAGACAGAGUUGACAAAAUUACAUUACACUCCUAAUAAUGUCUUAGGGUGAAGAUUCUGUCAGAGCAUUUUUUCUGCCUACAGGUCUGUGAACAAAUUAAAUAACUAUUUUACUGGAGGCUGUGGCAUCAAAGAGGGUUUUUAUAGGUUGGGUUUUUUUGUUUUUUUAAAAAAGUAUAGUUAACUGCUUUCCAUAUCAAAGCAUGUAGAAGUUGACAUCAACAGGGGUGGAGAAGCUUAUAAUCAGGAGAAAUUUUUCAGGUUUAUGAGUGUGCAAAAUGUUCUCUCUAUUUGCAUCAAGCUAUUAGCAAACUGUUUAUGUAUGUAUUUAUGCAUCGCCUUUAUAUCCUGCUGUUCUUUUAAAGAGCUGCAGGCAAUAUACAUGGGAUUUUUACAAGUUGUGAAGCUGCUUAGAUGACCUUGGUUCAGUUACCAUGCCUUCGCCCAAAUCUACCUUACAUGGCUGUUGUGCUCCUGGCAGGUAGGCUGAGACAUGGGGUCUGACCCAAGGUCACACAGUCAGAUUCAUGACUGUGUGGGGAUUGAAUCAUGGCCCCCCCAUUGCUCAGGUCUUGCCCUCUGACCAUGGUACACCACACUGAAUUUCUUCUUUUAGCAAAGUGCUGAUGUUUGGUAGAACAAGUCCUAUCGGACAGUCCCUAUCUUCUCUGUGUGAAUGAAAGGAUUUGUCCUAAUAAGCAUCAUGUAUUGAGGGGGGAAUAAAAGAUGAAAGACAAAGCUGUUCGGUAUUCAUCAAACCUGCUACAGUAUUUCCAGAGCUAUCGCUACUAAGAAAUCUAAGAAUUAAAUGUACAGCUCUUUUUACUGGACUUUCCAGGGCAAUUAUGUGUUUAUUUUACCUCAGCAAAGCAACAUGUUUUCUUUGGACACCCUAUUUCUCUAACUGAGGAUUUAAAAAGCAACAACAACAAAGGGAUUUGGGUGAAUAUUGUUGCAUUGGCAUACUGCAGGGAUUCUCAGACUUCCUAUGUGCUUCAGAUGGCUGAAAAUUACUGAGGCCCACCAGUCUCAAAAUGGCGGCAGAUGGAGGCAGAGUUUGGCAUAACCAGCUGGCAAUUACAGACAUCUGAUAUCUAAUCCACCUUUGGAAAUGGCUAAAUUCUUUGCUGCUGAGAUUUCCCUAUGUCAAGGAGUCCCAUAGCUCAGCUUUCCACAUGCUAAAAACAGAAAUCCUUUCCUGGAGGCGUUGUUUGACUCCCCCCCCCCCUUUGGCAAAAUUUGCUGAUCUGGAGACUCCUAAUGACAAUGUGCAGAAUUGGGUCCUGUGCAGGUGCUUCUUCGCACCCCAACCCGCAGGAGCAGAAAUGGUACCUCACAGGAUCGAUGCCCCUGCUCAACAGCAUCAAUCCAAUGGAGUGUUGGGCGGGAAAGAAAGCCAUGAUAUUGACCUAAACAGAAGGUAGAUCUCAGCCUUUACAAUGCGGUUUUCCUGCUUUGCCUGUCUCUCUUUCCUACCAGAUGCCUGUCUCCCUGACAGUCAUAGAUUGCUCUGAGCCAAUCCAGCCUGACUGACUCACAGCGAUCUGUGAUCAUGUGUACUUGAUUCAUACGAUG